CACAUCCCCCCACCAAAUGUAUCUUGAGAUCCCCACUACACGAGGAAGCUUUACUAUUUAGCAAGGGUGAGACUGAGACUUUUGGAGCAGGGAAGCACCAAACAGCCCAGGAUUCUGACUUGGGGCUUAGAAGCCCUUUGGCUAGGCCAAGCAUGAACCCUUUAGCUGUGGAAGUGUUGGGAGCUUAGGGUCCACUUGAGGGAAGGGACAGGAUGGAGGCCUUGAAGAACUGACAAAAUGGGCGGCGCUCAGGCAGUGACCGUUUACCGCAGGAAAUGGAAGUGCCAGGGACUUCAGCACUGCUGCAUUUCCGCCUGCGCCUGCCUGCUCACUAGCUGCUCUGGUCUGCAGCUCACCUCCAAAGACCUUGAGGGCGGCGUCUUUAGAGAGACUUGCAAUAGCCCAGUGGAACAUAAAAGAAGGGAGAAAAUGUGGGACUGGAAGAGAGGCUGAGCGGGCCAAGAGGGUGCUUUUGUGGUUUUGUUUGUUUGCAGCAGUGCUGGAGACUGAGCUCAGUGCCUCAUGCCUGGGCAAAGCUCUACCACAGAGCUACAUCCCCCACACCCUUUAUUUUAAGACAGAAUCUUGCUAACUUGGCCAGGGUGGCUUUGAACUUGGGAUUGGUCUGCCUUGGCCUCCCCAGUAGCUGGAAUACAGGUCUGGAAUACACCCAGCAGAGCAAUGCAUUUGGAACAUUACCUCCCCUUCCCCGCCACCGCUGAUGACCCUUUUACAGUCACUGGUGGUGGCGACGGCGGUCACUCCGAUCCUGUGGGCACUGCUAAUGGCGUACAGCAGGCGGCCCGUCUCGGGGGCGAAGGCCCGGAUCUUGCCAUCGUUCCACGCUGGGGCGAGAGGAGACAGAGGGCAGGCAGGGUCAGCACCCCUGCCCUCCCUCCAGACUGUGUGCUCCUAAAAGACAAAUGAGAGUGAGACUCGGGAGAAGUGGCACUGAUGGGGAAAGAAGCCACAGACAGACAGACAGACAGACACAGCCGCCCAGCCUGUCCCCACGGCCCCAAGCAGGCCAGGCCUGGCUGAGGGAAAGGAGGGUUUGUUAGUUAAAACUGCCUUCAGGGCAUCCCGCAUGGAGAGAAACAGCGCACCUUUGCAGGGCUGCAGACUUGUGCUUGCCGCUGGCUGGCUGCUUCGGGCCAGGCUGCAUCCUUUAACAGAUCCAAAUGAUUCCUGGCUUCUUCCCCCAUCCUCACCUCUUUCCCCCACAGCGAACCCUGCCAUCAUCCGUCCAGGUGCUUAACCCAAGAGCCUCGGUCCUCCUGAUGGCUUUAUAUCCCGCCUGCCCCACCCAACCUGACAUCUGACCCAUCAGUGAAUCCCGUCAGCUCUACCCUUCAGAACACUGAGGAUCUGACCAGAUUUCCACCCAGCACUAGUACCCGCUGUUCAAACCACGAGCCCAUCUCCCCUGGAUGGUUAUUCUUUUGUUUGUUUCUGUAGUUUUAGGGACUGAAUCCAGUGCCUUCCUAGUAAGCUGUAUCCCCAGCCUUUUUUAUAUUAAAUUUUUCUGUUUUGAGACCAGGUCUUGCUAAAUCACUAAGCUUCCCAGGUUGGGUUUGAACUUGUGAUCCUCCUGCCUCAGCGUCCCAGAGUGCUGGGAUUAUUGAUGUCCAUUACCAUACCUGACUCUCCUGAAUUAUUUUAACAGCUCCCCACCGUGUCUCCCCUUGUUGCUUAAAACCAGUUAUCUACACAGGUGUUGGGGUGAACCUUAUAAAGCCACGUCACCUUUGAUCAAGCUUUUCCCUCUCUAUAGAGUAUUAAAGAACAACCCCUUCAUCCUGCACAGUACCUAGUACCUGCCCCUCUGGGGUUACUGUCUCUGAACCCCCAGCCCAGACAUAACCACUGAGCCCCAGACACAGUGACCCUCUCCUUACACCAAGGGGUGUCCCACCUCGGGAUCUUUUUGGACUUGCUGUCUGUCCCCUUGCAUGGAACGCUUUGCCCCCAGGACUGCACAUGCUGGCUGACACCUGUUCGUUUGUUUUGUGUCAAUUCUUGACCUGAGCAAUCAUAAAUGAGAUAGUUGGGUGGACCUAAUUCAGCCAAGACUCAAGGAAGUGAGAGCAUGAGGGGGUGUGCCAUGGGAAGGUCUGGGGGAAGAAGAUUCCAGAAGGAUGGGGCAGCUGGAGCAGAAGUGCUGCCCCCAGAGAGUUACAGGGAUGGUGCUGCACCGAGUGUGCCUGGGAGGGGUGAGCAGUAGAAGCUGGCGGGGAGAAGGCGAGGUGGAGAGGAAGAAGGUGUGUGGGGACAUCUGAUGUCCACCGAGGCUCGUGUCCUCUGUGGGGCUUCGGGAAGUGCCUGGAUUACGGGCCAGCAGCAGACGGCUGGUGGGCGGUGUGGCCUGGCAGGCAGAGGCGGUCCCCGGAGGAGUGCAGUGAAGGGUGUCUGUCCCUCCUGCUCCUUUCACGGUCCGCUUCCCGGAGCCCUUAGGCUAAGCAGCUUCUGUCCUGCCAGGCUGCUCUGCCAGGCUGCCCUCCUGCCUCGGAGCCAGCUGACGACAGCCUGAAAUGUGAGCCAAGAUAAACCCCCUUCUCGUCAGACAGUUGCCAGAGCCUUCCCUUUCAGAGGGGAAAAGACAUUUGAGCCUUGUAAGGGGCGUGAUCAGACUUGGCGUUUCUGGUUUCCGCAUUCAGAAUACACUGGGAAGGAGCGAAGACCAGCAGCAGGUGUGGAGAGCCCUGGCUGGAAGCUACCGGAAUAACCCAGGCCCAGUGUCCGCCAGCAGCUUAGUCCUGGGGUUCAUUUUUAGAAUAUCUCCAGUCGUGGUGCCAAGGUAGAAAAAGCCGUCAUCCUCAGCCAUCUGGAAGGAGAGGAAAGAAACCUGAAGACCGUGUUUUCUUAGUCUCAUGAGCUCCUGAUCGGGGAGGAGCCGAGUGUCCUCUGACACCCCAGGAAAACCUACACAGACCCACCUGGCUCCUUCUAUUUCCGAUUGUGGGAUGGCGAACUCAGGCUGGGCAAGGCCCGCUGGACUGCAGGCAAUCUAUGAGCCCACUUGAUGUUCCCCGAGGGCAGCCUACCAGUGCUCCUAGGAGGAGGGUGUGUUUCUCCCAGGAGGAUGUGUAUUGCUUUCCCUCCUCACUUCCAAAACCUCUGCUUAAACAAGGACUACGCACUCCACAAGAGAAAUAAAUCAGCGGAGAACAGAGUCACAUCUCCGAAUGUUUCCAUCUACAUUAAGAAUAUAUUGGAUAUUUGUCUAUAUGGAAGAUACUGCAUUUUGCAAUGAUUUUUACUAUCACUAACUUUAUUCCCGUGGCAGAGGUGAUCCUGGUCGCAUGGGGAUGUGAGUGCCACCUAGCUGUCCCGCUUCCCUCCAGGUGAAGCAGCUUUGGGGGUCCGAGUGCAGCUCAGCCCCCAGUUAAAAUGAGGCUCCAAGGCUCUGUCUAGGCAGCUCCUGCCCACCACUGAGGGCGCCCCAGAACCGAGAUGCCCUCGCACCUACGCCUCCUCAUCACCAUCCCCAGUGUCCACUUUUGUCCUCCUGCCAGCGGCCCAAGGUGCACACACACCUUCCGUCAGUGCUGCUGGCAGGAACUUGUAGUGACAGUUACCUAAACUGCGGCUCGAAGCAACACUUACUGCAACACUCAGGACUAUUCUUUUCAUCUGUCCCGUCUGGCACUCGGUCGGCCAGAUCUUUCUGUUCGGGAGGUCGAGUUCCCACACUCGAAUCGUCCCACUGCCAAGAAAAACCACAAUUAAAUGGAGAUCCACUUCCUGGCAGUUCAGUUCUUUUAUGUUUUCUGUGUCCUCUUGCAGAAGUUGAAGAGAUGAGGAUUCAACAUUUGUGAAGUCUUUAACAGCCUAGUGCUCUAUGUAUGAUCUUUCACUCAACCCUCCCAAUGGCCCUAACGGCAGAGUUAUAAGAAACCUCACUCUCCAAAUGAGGUGAUGCGGAGCGUGUACACGGCAAAGCGGGGUCCACACCCAGCUCUCUGGCUUUGGAGGAUGCCAUUUACCAAGUACACCAAAACCAGAUACGCAGAUAUGCGAGGAAACAUGCAGAGCAGAUUGGGAUUCUUUAAGUUUCUUGCCCCCUUUCUAACUGACAACUGAAAACGUGUGUACAUGCUGUUGUAGUAUACUUUGUGGAAUGGUUCAAUCAACUUGCUAAA
Long non-coding RNA from Cavia porcellus (domestic guinea pig), 4142 nucleotides. RefSeq lists it as uncharacterized. The transcript has 3 exons. NCBI's taxonomy places the organism in Eukaryota, Metazoa, Chordata, Mammalia, Rodentia, Caviidae. The record is from RefSeq and is a predicted model, not a curated record.